UUCAGCCAAAUGCACGGAAAGCCAUUUCCCAUAUAAAACGUGCGGGGUCCUUCACUCGGUUUUAAAAGAUUUUAGAUUUCCAUUCUUUUUUUUUUAGCCCUGCUAUGGUUCUAUGAUUGAAACGACAACAAUUUUUAAAAUUUGUUCUAUUUUCUUGCUUGAAGGUUUUGUUCUUAGAGAAUCUGUUUUCUGUUCCAAAAUUUUUGAAUCCUUUAUUUCAAUAUCUUCGGUUUCUUCCAAGAUGCGCUUCUUCUACAUGGCUGUUACUUAUGAUAGUUGAAUAAGUUUUGGUUCUGGCUUCACUUUCUUCUAAAAUUUUUAUUUUUAAAUUUUCUGGUUAGGUAAAUCAUCUCUGGAUUCUAUGUUUAUUCGGAAAUUUUCAUAUGACACAGGAAGAGAGUAUAACAUCAUCACAGAAUGGAGAGGUAUUCCAGAAGCUCUUUGACAUUUCCAUUGUUCUCGAUGUAACCAAAUUUGGUGACCUUGAAAAACUACCAAAAGGCUGGUAGUUGUACAUGGCCACAGAAUAGUAAAUAUCUAUAUUAAAAAUUCUCAAUUCUGUGACGUGGCUCGAUUGUCUUUCCUCUCUAUUCUGUGACCGAACAAUACUUGUGUCAAAAGGCAAUGAACUCGAACACCGAAACACGUGGAAAUAAACUACUAACAAAAUGACGGUUGAGACCAUGAAAAGAUAGAGUGUCGCUUCUGUAAUACCUUUCUAUUCUGUUACAUCACAAUGCUGAGUAAGUCAUUGUUAAUUUGGAUAUCCAUUUCGGAUAAAUUAUCUUCUGUAUCAGCAAACUUAUUCAGAUGUUGUCGAAUAUUGUCCCUCUCAUUCAUUUUUUGGAAAAUUAAACUUUUUAAUAAUGUUGCUUAACGAGCAGGUUCUAGAAUUUGGUAAAUUUUGCUCAAUGUAUCCCAAAUAUCUUUUGAUGUUGAACAGUUUUUAAUCUGUCUCAGUUCAUUUGGAGAUAUUAUCAAAAUAAGUUCUGAUUUUGCGUUAAAAUCAUCGUUAAUCCAUUUAUUUUUUGUCUACCGGUUUCAUUUUCUUUCCAGACACAUAAUCCCAAAAACCAGCUCUUCUUAAAAUUGUUUGUGCUGGAAUCUUCCAAGUAUCAUAGUUAUCAUUUUUCAAUGAUUUUAUUCUAUAAGUUGUCGAUACCUGAGCCAUUUUCCUCGAUCUCUUUUACGAUAUUUCAAUUUGUCGAAUUUUACGUGGUUUAUUGUUCAACAGUUGCAAAAACUGGGGUCUUUUUAAGAAAAUUGAAUCCCUGAGCCCAUAACCUGUAGUUAUUAUAUUAGUAGGUACGCAGUUUAAAGAGGGAUGAACUGAAGCUAUAUUUUAUUAUAAAACAUUUUAAUGACAUCAAAAAAACUACUGUCAAUGUUACCUAAGGUAACUAAAAUAAUCAGUAGCAGGAGUGCAUAUCAAUAAUGUAUUUAUUCCAACGGACAAGAAUCCAAAAUUGUUUAGUAUAGAUUGAAAUGCAUUCUGCGAGCGGAAAUUUUGAACUAGGAGACCAAAAAAGUGUUUAUCCCAAAGUGAUCAGAAUGAUUCUUUCAGUUUCGGAGCAAUGACGGUUGGAAGGUUCAUGAGUGAUUUCGUGAAAAAAUUCAGCAAGAUGAAUUAGAACAAGUACUCAAAAGAUUCUACCACCGAUUUCUACUGUUAUAUUAUGUGUGUAGAUUUAUAUUUUUUCACAAAGUGCGUUAUGUGAAUGUGUGUAUUUACCUGUUGCCACAUCAAUUGUUGAAAAUCCUGACUGAAGAUUGCAACAACUGCAAAAUGCGCCCCGCAUAAUAUGAGUCCGAAAAGGGCUGUUAUCCAACUCUUCAGUGGCAUCAUUGAGUACGCCAGAAAUAUAACAAAAACAACCUGCCAUGUCCCCUCAGCGGCUACCUUUGCAGUCAACUCGGCCGGUAAAAUCGGCAGGGCUAACGCGCAAAA
Harmonia axyridis is the source of this 1948-nucleotide long non-coding RNA. RefSeq lists it as uncharacterized. The transcript is spliced from 2 exons. Lineage: Eukaryota; Metazoa; Arthropoda; Insecta; Coleoptera; Coccinellidae. The record is from RefSeq and is a predicted model, not a curated record.